UACGAAGGUCCCAAGCGUUGCUCGGAAUCAUUGGGCGUAAAGCGGGUGCGGGUGGCUUUGUAAGUCAGGAGUGAAAGCCCAGGGCUCAACCCUGGAAGUGCUUUUGAAACUGCGAAGCUUGAGUGUGAGAGAGGAUACUGGAAUUCCUGGUGUAGUGGUGAAAUACGUAGAGAUCAGGAGGAACCCCGGUGGCGAAGGCGGGUAUCUGGCUCAACACUGACACUUAGACCCGAAAGCGUGGGGAUCAAACAGG
RNAcentral lists this ribosomal RNA (253 nucleotides) under uncultured bacterium. RNAcentral's name for it is "partial 16S ribosomal RNA". It matches the Rfam family "Bacterial small subunit ribosomal RNA", at positions 524 to 776 of the family's 1533-position model. The record is from RNAcentral.